AUUGAACGCUGGCGGCAGGCCUAACACAUGCAAGUCGGACGGUAGCACAGAGGGGCUUGCUCCUCGGGUGACGAGUGGCGGACGGGUGAGUAAUGUCUGGGGAUCUGCCCGAUAGAGGGGGAUAACCACUGGAAACGGUGGCUAAUACCGCAUAACGUCGCAAGACCAAAGAGGGGGACCUUCGGGCCUCCCACUAUCCGAUGAACCCAGAUGGGAUUAGCUAGUAGGCGGGGUAAUGGCCCACCUAGGCGACGAUCCCUAGCUGGUCUGAGAGGAUGACCAGCCACACUGGAACUGAGACACGGUCCAGACUCCUACGGGAGGCAGCAGUGGGGAAUAUUGUACAACGGGCGCAAGCCUGAUGCAGCCAUGCCGCGUGUAUGAAGAAGGCCUUCGGGUUGUAAAGUACUUUCAGCGGGGAGGAAGGCGAUGUGGUUAAUAACCUUGUCGAUUGACGUUACCCGCAGAAGAAGCACCGGCUAACUCCGUGCCAGCAGCCGCCGCGG
RNAcentral lists this ribosomal RNA (506 nucleotides) under uncultured bacterium. RNAcentral's name for it is "partial 16S ribosomal RNA". It matches the Rfam family "Bacterial small subunit ribosomal RNA", at positions 29 to 523 of the family's 1533-position model. The record is from RNAcentral.